ACUCUGGCUGGAACCAACUCUCUGGCGCACUGUACUGCGAGGCACUACUGGAUACUCCUUGGUACUAUUUUGCAGCUUUGGUGAUGAUCAUCUCCGUCCCCACCUCGUGAAACUUCAUCCAGAGUUCCCUCUCGUGCAGAAAAGAUGAAGAGAUGAAGAACUCCCUCCUGUUCCAGCAUGGUUUCACCCUGCAUGGCCACACAUGGGCCUGUGGUCUGCCUACUGCCCAGAGUCUUUUUACUCCCCCACCU
Plectropomus leopardus (leopard coralgrouper) is the source of this 251-nucleotide non-coding RNA. NCBI's taxonomy places the organism in Eukaryota, Metazoa, Chordata, Actinopteri, Perciformes, Serranidae. The record is from RefSeq and is a predicted model, not a curated record.